AGUAGAAAAUUAAUAAGUUUUCGCAUAUUGUAAAUGUUCUCAAUUGGUAUGCUGAAGUUCACUGCUGUUUCAAAACCUUUUCCAGCUGACCUACGGAUUUUGACAAACUAGAGUUUAAACUGAGGAAGACAAAAAACGCAUUUGUAGAGAAACUUUAAUAUUAUUUCAGGUGAUGUAAGUUUGGAAAGAUAUUGCCCAAAGACCAGACACAUGUAUCUGAAUGUAUAACACCAACCCAGGGAAAAGGACAGAGGGGAAAAUAAAUUUAGAAUUUCUUACUUCAGAUUAAAUGUUUCAAACUGAAAGGAAA
Non-coding RNA from Macaca mulatta (Rhesus monkey), 310 nucleotides. NCBI's taxonomy places the organism in Eukaryota, Metazoa, Chordata, Mammalia, Primates, Cercopithecidae. The record is from RefSeq and is a predicted model, not a curated record.